Molecule: non-coding RNA, 2075 nt
Organism: Chlorocebus sabaeus (green monkey)
Lineage: Eukaryota; Metazoa; Chordata; Mammalia; Primates; Cercopithecidae
Source: RefSeq, a predicted model, not a curated record
UUAUAGGCACAUGAAGUCAUGCUCAGAGCAGUGACCAAUUCUCAGUGAAGAAAACGUUCCCACUGGCCCAUUCUCAAUCUCAGAGUCAUCCAACCGGGUCCCAGAGUGGAAGGGGGAAGGGAAGACACGUCGGGACAUGCCUGAGCUGUGGUGAGCACUACAGCCAAGUGCUGUGCACGUUCCCUUCAACCAGGUGGGGCCAGGACAGCUGCCACUCUCACUCAGGGAAAGAACCAGAAAGCGGAGGGCUCAACAAUGUGUCCCGGGCUACUCAGGGACAGAACGGCCACCCCCGGAGCCGCUUUAACUCCAGAGACCAGGCUCUUUGCUGCAAAACGACAUCUCCAGAGGAAAAGGACCUCCUCAAGAGCCCGUCUGCCAGACCGGCGACAAUAUGGAAGUGGAAAAGCAUCCCUAUUGACGAGGCGGUGGCACACAGGCAUGCUCCCGCUCUGUGGUAAUAUUCUGCAGCAGGAAAGAGGAGAAAGAACAUUGUCUAUGAAAUAAUACGGAAAGUUUCCCAAGAUAUGCAUAAGUGCCCCCAGCAUCUCGGCUGAGCUCCCUGGUGUCAGAGACCCAACUGGACAGAAGACGUCACGCAGUGGGGUGUGCUGCCAAGAGGAGAGGUCUGCAAUUGGCUCACUGCUGCAAAUCUUGCUUGGGUGAGACUAUUCCAGAGUCCCACAAUGGAGAGCGGGUGAAAUGGACAGAGUUCUGCAUGGGGCGAUGGGUACUAAUCAGUGGUGAGACCCAGGAAUGCUGCCAUCUCCAUAGGCUUCCUCUGGUAAGUGGGGAUAAUGCGAGGCCAUGGCAGAAGCCAGAGGCUCUUGUGCUCUUCCUAGAUGGAGCUGAGCACACAGCACUGAGGGCAGCAGUUGCUCGUGCCUCCCGCUCUGCCACGGACCAGCUGGGUGACCUACAACAAGCGAGGUGACCUCGCUGGGCCUCCCUGUUUUCUCAUCUGUGCAACGUGGAUAAAACUACUUCAGAGAGUUGUUGUGAAAGUCAAGGGAAUAAAUCUAUAUAAAUUGCCCAGAACGGUACCUGGCAUCUAGUAAGUGCCAUAUGGGUUUUAGCUGUUACUUAAGCUCUGUAAUUUUAUGAUUCGAUUACAUAAGCUACGCAUGCGCACAAUAAUCAUCACGAUAAAAAUACAGUGUGUAUAUGUCCAAUAUGUACCUGAUCACACAAACACAACGCACGUCGAUCCAUGUGCAUGUUCACAAACACAUGCAUGCACACACACGAAGAUGGAAACGGUGCCAUGAAUGCUGGGAAAGGCCCUUCCCCACUCUCAUGAUCCAGAUCUGAAGUCUGUGUUGCCUAUGUGUCAAACCCCGACUACUUUCGAAGUCAUUCCAAGAUGUGCAAGGGCACCAGAUUUGGAUUUGUGGGAGGCAGCAAUCAAAUCUGUGCCUUUCCCACCUUACCCCCCAGCCCAUCGAAGUCCAAACAGCCAGGGUGACGUGACGGCCUUGUUGGCUGGCAAGGCAGGACGUCUCUCUGUGGCUGGCAGGGCUUCCCUGCUACGGGAGAUUAAAGGCCUCAGAACCACGUUAUUACAAACAGCUAUAAAAGCCAAAUUCCCUCAAGGCAGAUACAAAAUGCAACCCUGCAUUUUACUUAAAAUGAUCAAGGAAUCAGCUGUACUGAUGGCAAGAGCCAUUUAUAGUAAAAUUCAUUUAGAGAAAACUAUUUCUCCAAACAUAACGAUUAGAAAAACACAGUGUGCUAUGUUUUUAAAGAAUCUUGUUUAAAGACAUUUAAUUUUUUUCAGGAGAUAUGACAGAGCUCCAUUAGGAAGCAUAUCUGAGAAUAGGCCAGAAGCCACUGUGAGAGGCCGAAGGGUGGGCCCACACAGCCCAGGUCAAGUGCUUGAGUCCCGCCUCUGUCCUGAAAGGGAGGACAGGUCAGCUGAAGGCAACUCCUCCUUACUGGAAAGAAGGCAGUCUUAAAAAUGGAGAACAAAGCCCAGUGUGACUGUAUUCUAGGUGGGAUCAUCCAAACAGGGCCACUGUGCUUAAAAAUCCUUACGCUGUCCUGCUUGUGAAGCCCAAAUAAAACUGACAAAUACU